UAGCAGAGAGGUUUGACUGAACAGAGACCUUAGUAAAUCAAUGGCUUGCAGACUCAUAACAAAAUUAUAUCAGUCAGUGGCAAACGACAAGCUGCAUCUGGUGUCAGGCUUUAUAGUGGUAAGUGAGUUGAUGUACUUUCAUUGUACAGCUGCAUCGAGAACUAAGUACUUCCUAGAGUGUUCCAAAAAUUAGAGAUCAGGAAGGGGAGAGGUAGCAAGU
This 220-nucleotide long non-coding RNA is filed under the name Pan troglodytes (chimpanzee). Its description in RNAcentral is "long non-coding RNA NONPTRT007492". Lineage: Eukaryota; Metazoa; Chordata; Mammalia; Primates; Hominidae. The record is from RNAcentral.